Molecule: ribosomal RNA, 519 nt
Filed under: Penicillium polonicum
Lineage: Eukaryota; Fungi; Ascomycota; Eurotiomycetes; Eurotiales; Aspergillaceae
Description: eukaryotic LSU rRNA
Source: RNAcentral
UUGGGUCAACCUCCCACCCGUGUUUAUUUUACCUUGUUGCUUCGGCGGGCCCGCCUUUACUGGYCGCCGGGGGGCUCACGCCCCCGGGCCCGCGCCCGCCGAAGACACCCCCGAACUCUGUCUGAAGAUUGAAGUCUGAGUGAAAAUAUAAAUUAUUUAAAACUUUCAACAACGGAUCUCUUGGUUCCGGCAUCGAUGAAGAACGCAGCGAAAUGCGAUACGUAAUGUGAAUUGCAAAUUCAGUGAAUCAUCGAGUCUUUGAACGCACAUUGCGCCCCCUGGUAUUCCGGGGGGCAUGCCUGUCCGAGCGUCAUUGCUGCCCUCAAGCCCGGCUUGUGUGUUGGGCCCCGUCCUCCGAUUCCGGGGGACGGGCCCGAAAGGCAGCGGCGGCACCGCGUCCGGUCCUCGAGCGUAUGGGGCUUUGUCACCCGCUCUGUAGGCCCGGCCGGCGCUUGCCGAUCAACCCAAAUUUUUAUCCRGGUUGACCUCSGAUCAGGUAGGGAUACCCGCUGAACUUAA